Molecule: ribosomal RNA, 700 nt
Filed under: uncultured bacterium
Lineage: Bacteria
Description: bacterial SSU rRNA
Rfam family: Bacterial small subunit ribosomal RNA
Source: RNAcentral
UAUUAGAAAGAAUACCAAUUGCGAAGGCAGCUUUCUGGAUCAUUACUGACACUGAGGAACGAAAGCAUGGGUAGCGAAGAGGAUUAGUUACCCUCGUAGUCCAUGCCGUAAACGAUGUGUGUUAGAUGUUGGAGAUUUAUUUUCAGUAUCGCAGCGAAAGCGAUAAACACACCGCCUGGGGAGUACGACCGCAAGGUUAAAACUCAAAUGAAUUGACGGGGACCCGCACAAGUAGUGGAGCAUGUGGUUUAAUUCGAAGAUACGCGCAGAACCUUACCAACACUUGACAUGUUCGUCGCGACUUUAAGAGAUUAAAGUUUUCGGUUCGGCCGGACGAAACACAGGUGCUGCAUGGCUGUCGUCAGCUCGUGUCGUGAGAUGUUGGGUUAAGUCCCGCAACGAGCGCAACCCCCACUUUUAGUUGCCAUCAUUAAGUUGGGCACUCUGAAAGAACUGCCAGUGAUAAGCUGGAGGAAGGUGGGGAUGACGUCAAGUCCUCAUGGCCCUUACGUGUUGGGCUACACACGUGCUACAAUGGUAUCUACAACAGGAAGCAAAACGGCAACGUUAAGCAAAUCCUUAAAAGAUACCUCAGUUCGGAUUGCACUCUGCAACUCGAGUGCAUGAAGCUGGAAUUACUAGUAAUCGUGGAUCAGCGUGCCACGGUGAAUGCGUUCCCGGGCCUUGUACACACCGCCCA